CGCGAACCCUACGACCUUACGUUGUCCAGCAUUCAGUUGGGCACUCUAAGGUGACUGCCGGCUAAAAGUCGGAGGAAGGUGGGGAUGACGUCAAAUCAUCAUGCCCCUUAUGACCUGGGCUACACACGUGCUACAAUGGGCGGUACAAAGGGUCGCGAACCCGCGAGGGGGAGCCAAUCCCAAAAAGCCGCUCUCAGUUCGGAUUGCAGGCUGCAACUCGCCUGCAUGAAGCCGGAAUCGCUAGUAAUCGCGGAUCAGCAUGCCGCGGUGAAUACGUUCCCGGGCCUU
This 288-nucleotide ribosomal RNA is filed under the name uncultured Anoxybacillus sp. RNAcentral describes it as "partial 16S ribosomal RNA". It matches the Rfam family "Bacterial small subunit ribosomal RNA", at positions 1095 to 1382 of the family's 1533-position model. Lineage: Bacteria; Bacillati; Bacillota; Bacilli; Caryophanales; Anoxybacillaceae. The record is from RNAcentral.